CACACACCCAUCAUCCAGCACACACACACCCAUCAUCCAGCACACACACACUCACACAUCAUCCAGCACUCACACACCCAUCAUCCAGCACACACACACCCAUCAUCCAGCACACACACACACCCAUCAUCCAGCACUCACACACCCAUCAUCCAGCACUCACACACACAUCAUCCAGAACUCACACACCCAUCAUCCAGCACACACACCCAUCAUCCAGCACUCACACACCCAUCAUCCAGCACUCACACACCCAUCAUCCAGCACACACACACCCAUCAUCCAGCACUCACUCACACACCCAUCAUCCAGCACUCACUCACUCACACACACAUCAUCCAGCACACACUCACACA
Pelobates cultripes (western spadefoot toad) is the source of this 356-nucleotide non-coding RNA. NCBI's taxonomy places the organism in Eukaryota, Metazoa, Chordata, Amphibia, Anura, Pelobatidae. The record is from the annotation of a GenBank genome assembly.